Molecule: ribosomal RNA, 495 nt
Filed under: uncultured bacterium
Lineage: Bacteria
Description: partial 16S ribosomal RNA
Rfam family: Bacterial small subunit ribosomal RNA
Source: RNAcentral
ACUCAAAUGAAUUGACGGGGACCCGCACAACCAGUGGAGCGUGUGGUUCAAUUCGAGACAAAGCGAAAGACCUUACCAGGUUUUGACAUGUUACCGUUUUAACCAGCUAGAAACAGCAGGCUAUCCGCAAGGAUGGUAGCACAGCUGCUGCAUGGCUGUCGUCAGCUCGUGCCGUGAGGUGUUCUCUUAAGUGAGACAACGAGCGCAACCCCCAUCCGAUGUUACAAGUGUCAUCGGAGACGGUCUUGGUUUUUUCCAGGAAGGAAGGAGGGGACGACGUCAAGUCAGCACGGCGCUUAUAACCUGGGUCACACACACCCUACAAUGGCGAAAAACAAUGGGACGCAAGCCGGUAACGGCAAGCAAAUCCCCUGUAAAUUUCGCCUCAGUUCAGAUUGAGGUCUGCAACCCGACCUCAUGAAGUCGGAAUUGGUAGUAAUCGCAGAUCAGCAGGCUGCGGUGAAUACGUUCUCGGGUCUUGUACACACCGCCCGU